UGGGGAAUUUUGGACAAUGGGCGAAAGCCUGAUCCAGCAAUGCCGCGUGUGUGAAGAAGGCCUUCGGGUUGUAAAGCACUUUUGUCCGGAAAGAAAUCCUCUGGGUUAAUACCUCGGGGGGAUGACGGUACCGGAAGAAUAAGCACCGGCUAACUACGUGCCAGCAGCCGCGGUAAUACGUAGGGUGCAAGCGUUAAUCGGAAUUACUGGGCGUAAAGCGUGCGCAGGCGGUUUUGUAAGACGGAUGUGAAAUCCCCGGGCUUAACCUGGGAACUGCAUUCGUGACUGCAAGGCUAGAGUAUGGCAGAGGGGGGUAGAAUUCCACGUGUAGCAGUGGAAUGCGUAGAGAUGUGGAGGAAUACCGAUGGCGAAGGCAGCCCCCUGGGCCAAAUACUGACGCUCAUGCACGAAAGCGUGGGGAGCAAAACAGGAUUAGAUACCCUGGUAGUCCACGCCCUAAAACGAUGUCAACUAGUUGUUGGGGAUUCAUUUCCUUAGUAACGUAGCUAACGCGUGAAGUUGACCGCCUGGGGAGUACGGUCGCAAGAUUAAAAACUCAAAGGAAUUGACGGGGUCAUAGCUGUUUCCU
RNAcentral lists this ribosomal RNA (589 nucleotides) under uncultured bacterium. RNAcentral describes it as "partial 16S ribosomal RNA". It matches the Rfam family "Bacterial small subunit ribosomal RNA", at positions 355 to 1375 of the family's 1533-position model. The record is from RNAcentral.